This 229-nucleotide unclassified non-coding RNA is filed under the name plant metagenome. RNAcentral describes it as "partial contains small subunit ribosomal RNA, internal transcribed spacer 1, and 5.8S ribosomal RNA". The record is from RNAcentral.
UCUCCGUAGGUGAACCUGCGGAGGGAUCAUUACAGAGUUCAUGCCCGACCGGGUAGAUCUCCCACCCUAUGUUAUUAUUACUUUGUUGCUUUGGUGGUCCGUUAGUCUCCGGACCGACUACCGGUCCCGGCUGGUAAGCGCCCGCCAGAGGACCCAAAACCCUGAAUAUUAGUGGCGUCUGAGUACUAUAUAAUAGUUAAAACUUUCAACAACGGAUCUCUUGGUUCUG